AUACAACAGCCAUAAUUUACUUGAUGUUGAUAUUCCACGUGGAUAACUGUGGUAAUUCUAGAGCUAAUACAUGCACCAAAGCUCCGAUCUCAUGACGAGCGCAUCUAUUAGACCAAAAACCAAUCGAGAAUAUUCGCCUCAAAACGAAUGCCUCGUAAAUUUGGUGACUCUGAAUAGCUUAGCUGAUCGCAUGGUCUCGCACCGGCGACGUAUCUAUCAAGUGUCUGCCUUAUCAACUUUCGAUGGUAGUUUAUAUGCCUACCAUGGUUGUAACGGGUAACGGAGAAUAAGGGUUCGACUCCGGAGAGGGAGCCUGAGAAACGGCUACCACAUCCAAGGAAGGCAGCAGGCGCGCAAAUUACCCACUCUCAGCACGAGGAGGUAGUGACGAAAAAUAACGAGACCGUUCUCUUCGAGGCCGGUUAUCGGAAUGAGUACAAUUUAAAGCCGUUAACGAGGAUCUAUGAGAGGGCAAGUCUGGUGCCAGCAGCCGCGGUAAUUCCAGCUCUCAAAGUGUAUAUCGUCAUUGCUGCGGUUAAAAAGCUCGUAGUUGGAUUUAAGCUCGAUGACUCGGUCCAUCCAUAGGAUGAGAACUGAGCUCAUCGGCUAUCAUCGGCUGGUUUUGUCUAGGUGGCUUUAAACGGUUGCCUAGGCUGGCUAGCAAGUUUACUUUGAAAAAAUUAGAGUGCUCAACGCGGGCUUAAUGCCUGAAUAGUCGUGCAUGGAAUAAUGGAAUAGGAUUUCGGUUCUAUUUUGUUGGUUUUUUUAACCGAAAUAAUGGUUAAGAGGGACAGACGGGGGCAUUCGUAUCGCUACGUGAGAGGUGAAAUUCUUGGACCGUAGCGAGACGCCCGACUGCGAAAGCAUUUGCCAAGAAUGUCUUCAUUAAUCAAGAACGAAAGUCAGAGGUUCGAAGG
RNAcentral lists this ribosomal RNA (917 nucleotides) under Nematoda gen. n. sp. i SKM-2023. Its description in RNAcentral is "SSU rRNA". It matches the Rfam family "Eukaryotic small subunit ribosomal RNA", at positions 101 to 1004 of the family's 1831-position model. Lineage: Eukaryota; Metazoa; Nematoda. The record is from RNAcentral.